GUUUUUGUAAUCCGAAAAUUAAUUAGGGCUCAAACGAGCCAAACCUGAGAAAUGUUGUUUACAAAUUUAAUAUAAAGCGGUUGGGUACGAACUCAUAUUUCCAGUUUUAGUUAUUAAAUUUUUUAAGUCAAUAAAAAAUAUUUGUCGUAUGUCUAUUUUAG
RNAcentral lists this small RNA (161 nucleotides) under Arabidopsis thaliana (thale cress). RNAcentral's name for it is "ATSL079250". Lineage: Eukaryota; Viridiplantae; Streptophyta; Magnoliopsida; Brassicales; Brassicaceae. The record is from RNAcentral.